This 527-nucleotide long non-coding RNA is filed under the name Marmota monax (woodchuck). The record is from RNAcentral. Lineage: Eukaryota; Metazoa; Chordata; Mammalia; Rodentia; Sciuridae.
UUUCUGAAGUAGACCAGGGUUGUGUCCAGGCUACAGCACAAGGCAAAGGCCAGCAAGGGCUCUGAAUUUCAGUUUCCUCAAAUAAAAAGCAAAGGAUGGAUGGGGUAGCGCUCAGUGGUACAGCACUUGCCUACCAGGACCCACGUUCAAUCCAUAGUACUAGGGGGGAAAAACUAAUUUAACUUAAACAAAGAAGCAGAAACAAAAGAUAACCUCCCACUUUACUCUGUUCAUGGAUGCUUGUUGAAAUCAAAUGUACAUGCAAUAUUAUCACUAGUAAAAUGGAAUUAAAAUUUAGCUCUUCCAUUAGUUGUUUUUGUGAGAUUUUCAUGAAUGUGUGUUGGGGAAUUUUCUGGACCCUUCAAGUCAUGUUAAAUAGUCAUGGUGACAGCAGACAUUAGGGUAUGGUUUCUGGUUUCAUUUGAAAUGGUUUAAAUUUUGACUAGAAAAAUGUGUGGUUGACUUUUGAUAAAAACAUCUUUGUUAUACAUAAAGUUUCCUUUCUGUAUUUAUUUAAAAUUUACAUC